AGGAAUCUUUAAUAGAGUGGUUGGAAAAUCAGGAGUAUUGGAAGAGGAAUAAUGGGUGGGACCAUGUGUUUAUAUGUCAGGAUCCUAAUGCUUUGUACAAGGUGGUGGAUAGGGUGAAAAAUGGGGUGUUGUUAGUUUCAGACUUUGGGAGAUUGACACACAAUCAGGGAUCACUUGUGAAAGAUGUGAUUUUGCCGUACUCACAUCGAAUUAAUUCAUAUUUAGGCAAUGUUGGGGUUGAGAAUCGUGAUAAACUGCUUUUCUUUAUGGGGAACAGAUAUCGAAAGGAGGUAACUUCUUUACAGUUGUUUUUCAAAAGGUUUCAUAUUGUAUUUCCUGUACUACCACCUAUUCUGAAGACAGAAAGUAGAUUUUUUUGUUUAGACGGAUCUUUUGUUUAUAGACUGCUAUUACAUGUAGCAAGCUUGAGUGAAGUAGACUAGCUAUUGUUGCACUUGCUUGGAAUGAGUUAGCAGAUUGAUAAGUAUCUUUUGUGUUGAUUAAUCUGAGUGGUCACCGUGAAUCUGAAUUUAUCACUGAAAAUCAACACAUGAUUUGUGGUGCAUUUUCAGAAUAUCUCCAACAAGGUUCAGCUUACCUGAUGUGUGGUAGUUAGGGUUGUUGAGCUUGUAUUAAGUAGAAGUCCCAAGGUAAAGCCUUUUUUCAGUAGAUUUUUUAUGACACUCUACAAUUUGUUUGUGCUUAUUAUGUGCACCAUGAUGCAAAAAGUUUCUGGAAACCAGAAGGUGUAACAUUUGUUUUGCUGAUUUUGUACUUUAGAAUCCAUGCUUCAGGGACUGGAGAAGUACUCUUGUAGGUCAAAGAUUCUUCCUAUUUCAACACUAAUGAAACACAUACUUUUUGGUCUUCAUAUCUAUUUUCCAUUAACCACUCUGAAUUCCUCUGUAUUGUUUCAAGUUCAAUUGUUCCAAUUGAUGCAUCGCUUAUUUGGUUGACUGAAAGAUAAUCCAUGUCGCUUCAAGUGAAUAUUUCACCUUAUAAAUGUCAGAAGAACAAGAUUCUUUCAGUAUUUAAUACAAAAGAAGAUUUUGGGCUAAUUACCAUAUUUGCUUUGCUUUACAUUUGACUACAUAAUAAUGCAUACCCGACUAAAUUUCUAGUUUUGCUCUAAUCUAAAUUGUUAAGUUGUGAAGUUUUCAGGCUUCUUUGGUCCAUUGCUUUCAUAUAAGAGAAUUAUGAAUCCUAUCAUCUCAGCUUUGGCUAAUUUUGGAUGUAAAAUUUACGCUACUUAAAGAUGUUAUCCAAUGCAUAUGGGAAAAUAUAUCCCGUGGAGGGAGGUGCUUUAUUAUUUUCUCGUAUGGUAAAAAUUUAGUUGGAGAAGAAUGCAAAGUGUUGCCUAACAUUUUAUAUGUAGUUAUAACAUAUAUGCAUAAACUCUCUCAUAAAGCUUUAAUUAGUCAGUCCAAACAUAAAUCGGACAAAUUUAUCUGAAAAGAAUUAGCAAUCCAAAACUAUUGGUUGCAUGACACAUUAUUCUGUGGGUGUUAAUUGCAUCUUAUUUGGUCUGUGUUCAUGAGUAGCCCUUAGAUUUGGAUCAAUAUCUUCGUAAUUAAGUUGGUAAUCUUUUUAAACUUUAAAAUCUUCCGAUAGUGGCAUUCUUUUACUCUUCUAGGGACCCUUUUGAAUUUUAUACAUCUACAUAAUAUCAUAUGAGGAAAGCUCAUUUGCUCCAACUAAAUAGAUUAACCAUGGUUGACCCAUGACUUUAGCAAUAGGAUGGUAAAUUUUUACUUCAUAAGUACUUUUUCCAUCAAUUAAAUAGCCAGAUCCACCAGUUUAACACAUAUAACUUAAAGCUUGGAUGAAGUCAGAUAUGGACUGAUGCUCAUUACCUGAGAAUGACCAUUCACAUCUUUGCAACUCUAUAUCUCCCUUGCCCUCUUCUUGAACCAGAAUGGGAACUUGGGUCUUCCAAAUUAGUCGUUGCAACUUACAUGGUAGCUGCUACUUUGCAUACAAGAUUCUAGAGUGGGAUUUGGACUUGGUGAUGCCAAAUUCUGCUCCUUGUGGAUCCUAGUGUUUGUAAGAGGUCUAUGGCUCAUUAAUAACCAACCCCAAUUGAAAAGAAGUUCAAGUCCAAUGAAGGAUGCAAAGUUCCUUUGUGUAGUACUGUAGACUUUUGCUAAUUUUCAUUGCUCAUGCAAUAGUUCUCUGCAUGUUGUGUGGUUUUUUUUUUUCGCUUCUGUUUCUUUUGAUAAAGUCAUGUCUGUUGAUUAGCGUUUGCUAAGCUUUCACUAGUUUAAUUCCAGGGGGGAAAGGUCCGUGACUUACUGUUCCAACUGCUUGAGAAUGAAGAAGAUGUUAUUAUAAAACACGGUGCACAGUCCAGAGAAUCUCGCAGAGAGGCAACAAGAGGGAUGCACACUUCAAAGUUCUGUUUGCAUCCAGCGGGUGAUACUCCAUCAGCUUGUCGGCUUUUUGAUGCUAUUGUGAGCUUGUGUAUACCUGUUGUUGUAAGCGACUAUAUUGAGUUGCCUUUUGAAGAUGUCAUAGACU
This 2517-nucleotide long non-coding RNA is filed under the name Coffea arabica (coffee). Its description in RNAcentral is "long non-coding RNA (CARA_LNC006212)". The record is from RNAcentral. Lineage: Eukaryota; Viridiplantae; Streptophyta; Magnoliopsida; Gentianales; Rubiaceae.